AUAUCAUCCUCAGCCUUUUUGGCUGUGGCCUUGUUUAGUUCCCCCAAAAAUUUUAAGUCUCAUACUCUUGUGGGCCAUGUGUCCACUUUGGUAUGAUGAAAAUUAUUUUUUGUGGGGGAGGGCCCGUAACAGUAGCAUCGCUACUGUGGGCUCUCAAGUGUCGCUUGGGCGUUGCACUACUGCCCAAGCCUGGCACACCCAAC
RNAcentral lists this small nuclear RNA (203 nucleotides) under Sorghum bicolor (sorghum). RNAcentral's name for it is "snRNA U2". It matches the Rfam family "U2 spliceosomal RNA". Rfam says of the family: U2 is a small nuclear RNA (snRNA) component of the spliceosome (involved in pre-mRNA splicing). Complementary binding between U2 snRNA (in an area lying towards the 5' end but 3' to hairpin I) and the branchpoint sequence (BPS) of the intron results the bulging out of an unpaired adenosine, on the BPS, which initiates a nucleophilic attack at the intronic 5' splice site, thus starting the first of two transesterification reactions that mediate splicing. The record is from Rfam by way of RNAcentral. Lineage: Eukaryota; Viridiplantae; Streptophyta; Magnoliopsida; Poales; Poaceae.